UUGAUGUUCAAAUAGUUGGCAGCCUGGAAACAUAAUCAAAUGCUCAAAUAUGAGUUCUUGGCCAGGCCUACAACCCAGUGAUCUGUGAACACAUGGGAAUUGAGAAAGCAUCAUUCCUAUUGUUCAAAUGUUUUUCAUUUCUACACAAAUAAUAAUAGUGCCCACAGCAUUUUAAAGGUUUCAAUUGAUUGCAAUUUAGUCCACCAAGUGACUGCAUUAUUAAUAAGAAUGAAAAUAAAAGUCUACAAGCAGUGUAUGUAAAAAUCAAAUCUUACAUUGAACCCGUUCUAAUUUCUAUGAACCAGAGAAGUGUUAAUUGUGCCACAAAAUACGAAUAUUUCAAAACAACAAUCAUUACAAAUAUUAGCAUUUUGGACGGAGAUUUACAGCAGUACGAGCAAUGUACUGUUCUCAUCCGAAUUACGUGAGUUGAAAACCUAACAGUAACCUAAUCAAUCCAAAAUGCUAAUAUUUGUAUCAGUGCAUUGAUGAUUUUCACAUUUGUACUUUAAAUUUUAUAAUAAUAUAAUAUUGAAAGCAUUAUUCAAGAUUCCUAUCAUACUUAGGAUUGGCAAUCAGAAAUCAAUAUAUAGAAAACAAUUAGAUACCGACCCAACAAUUAAACUCAUUAACUAUAGUGGCAUCAGCAUAGAAGUUUGUAGUAGGAGAGGAUGAACACAAAU
Molecule: unclassified non-coding RNA, 683 nt
Filed under: Hevea brasiliensis (rubber tree)
Lineage: Eukaryota; Viridiplantae; Streptophyta; Magnoliopsida; Malpighiales; Euphorbiaceae
Source: RNAcentral